GGCUCAAUGGUCUAGUGGUAAGACGUAUGCUGUAAAGCUAGGAUUCCCGGAGUUCGACUUCUGGUUAGGUCG
This 72-nucleotide transfer RNA is filed under the name Schistosoma japonicum. RNAcentral describes it as "tRNA-OTHER". Lineage: Eukaryota; Metazoa; Platyhelminthes; Trematoda; Strigeidida; Schistosomatidae. The record is from RNAcentral.